Molecule: long non-coding RNA, 260 nt
Filed under: Brassica napus (rape)
Lineage: Eukaryota; Viridiplantae; Streptophyta; Magnoliopsida; Brassicales; Brassicaceae
Description: long non-coding RNA (BNAP_LNC023820)
Source: RNAcentral
CCUUCACGUGUCAAUUCUAGAAGAAUCUGCUCAUCUCUCUUUUUUUUUUUUUUUUUUUUUUUUUUUUUUUCCCAUCUCUUCUCGUCUAUAUUUUUUUUUUUUUUUUUUGAUAACUCUGGUAUCUGGGCAGCCACAAUCCCAACUAUCCCCCGGAAGGGGUCCAGCGCCCCAACGGAAGGGAUGUUAAAUCCGUUGUGACCAAGACUCGAACCCGGGUGGCGGGCAGUACAGCUGUACCUCCUUUACCACCAAGCUACGAG